Molecule: long non-coding RNA, 522 nt
Organism: Boleophthalmus pectinirostris (great blue-spotted mudskipper)
Lineage: Eukaryota; Metazoa; Chordata; Actinopteri; Gobiiformes; Gobiidae
Exons: 3
Source: RefSeq, a predicted model, not a curated record
GUCGUCUACAAACACAGAGUGACGUCCAGAGCUCUGCUGGAGCUGUGGGGAAGUUCAUGAAUGUUAUAGUUGAUGUUUCAGAAAAAAGGAAGAUGUUUGAGAACCAACAAAACACAGAGCACAGAUGAACAAAGUGAUGUGGCAUUAGGAGACUUUAUACCAGAUGCCCUCCCUGUUACUGUGUUUAGAGGAAGAAAAGCAGCACAUGGCAGAGACCAGAGCUUCUUCACUGGAAUAAAUCUUCACACUGUCCAGCUCCAAACUGUGUGUCUCUGUCCCUGUGCUCUCUUUGUGUUUGAUUCUGUUUAAGACAAUACAGAACUGUGGAAAACUAAAGACUGUUUUUGUAUUCUUUUACAGAAUUAGAUCAAUUAAAUUAAAUUAUACAUACUUAUACAUUUCAUGAUAAGGUACCAUAAGAUAAAUAUGCAUAUUCAGCAUGAUUUGUUCAAAUUUCAUCAACAUGAAAAAGUGAUGUUCAUGUUCCGAGAAAAAUAUGUGUAGAGGGGAUCGAAAAAAGUU